This 21-nucleotide non-coding RNA is filed under the name Caenorhabditis elegans. Lineage: Eukaryota; Metazoa; Nematoda; Chromadorea; Rhabditida; Rhabditidae. The record is from RNAcentral.
UCUAAAUGAGAGUCUUCAUUA